RNAcentral lists this long non-coding RNA (621 nucleotides) under Homo sapiens (human). Its description in RNAcentral is "non-protein coding lnc-RGMA-7:13". Lineage: Eukaryota; Metazoa; Chordata; Mammalia; Primates; Hominidae. The record is from RNAcentral.
UUUUGGGUCCUUGAUUUUUGUUUGUCAGAAGCACCAGGCCAUGGAGGGAAUGAACUUUUACCUGGACCUCACAAGAGGAAAACAAAUGGUCCAGCUCCUCAGAAUCUGAUAGCUCCACCAAAAUAAAUUCAGUCUUUGCUUCUUUCAAAACACUGACAUACUGAUCCUUAAAGCUACAUAUGUUUAAGAACAACCAAGGGGAGAAAAAAAAUUCCCCCUUGUAACAUUUGUCUUCUGAACUUUGAGCUGAUUAUUUUUCUUCCACAUGGCCUGAGGUCUUAGAAAGGACACCCUUUUGGUAAGAUGGAACAUGACAUCGGGAAGUCCCAGCUACUGGCGUUUUAAAGAUAAAUGGUAAAACUGAACUGGAAAUCCAUCUGGCCGGCUGCCUGCUCUAAUGAAUAACCCCACUUUGGCUCGUGCAAUGUAAGCAGAAAGUUCUCUCCCGGCCUCUUUCGUCUGUCAUGAAUCUACAAGACAGCCGACAUAAUAUCUGGGCGACAACAGUGCGCUAACAGUGCAGUGACUUCCAUUUUCUUUGCUUUCUAUUGAUUUUCACUUAAUAACUGGCGAAAUACUAAACGUCCGCCCUGAGUACCUAAUAAAUCCUGCCUGAGCUUU